Cricetulus griseus (Chinese hamster) is the source of this 136-nucleotide small nuclear RNA. Its record names the gene U1. It matches the Rfam family "U1 spliceosomal RNA". From Rfam's summary of the family: U1 is a small nuclear RNA (snRNA) component of the spliceosome (involved in pre-mRNA splicing). The record is from Ensembl. Lineage: Eukaryota; Metazoa; Chordata; Mammalia; Rodentia; Cricetidae.
AUACUUACCUGACAGGGGAGAUUCCAGGCAGAGGAUUGUCCAUUGCACUCUGUACGUGCUAGCUCCUGCAAUUUCCCCAAAUGAGGGAAAUUGCAUAAUUUGUGGUAGUAAGGGACUUCAUUCAUGCUUUCUUAGA